GGUCCUAUCAUGCAAGUCGAGCGGACAGAUGGGAGCUUGCUCCCUGAUGUUAGCGGCGGACGGGUGAGUAACACGUGGGUAACCUGCCUGUAAGACUGGGAUAACUCCGGGAAACCGGGGCUAAUACCGGAUGGUUGUUUGAACCGCAUGGUUCAAACAUAAAAGGUGGCUUCGGCUACCACUUACAGAUGGACCCGCGGCGCAUUAGCUAGUUGGUGAGGUAACGGCUCACCAAGGCGACGAUGCGUAGCCGACCUGAGAGGGUGAUCGGCCACACUGGGACUGAGACACGGCCCAGACUCCUACGGGAGGCAGCAGUAGGGAAUCUUCCGCAAUGGACGAAAGUCUGACGGAGCAACGCCGCGUGAGUGAUGAAGGUUUUCGGAUCGUAAAGCUCUGUUGUUAGGGAAGAACAAGUACCGUUCGAAUAGGGCGGUACCUUGACGGUACCUAACCAGAAAGCCACGGCUAACUACGUGCCAGCAGCCGCGGUAAUACGUAGGUGGCAAGCGUUGUCCGGAAUUAUUGGGCGUAAAGGGCUCGCAGGCGGUUUCUUAAGUCUGAUGUGAAAGCCCCCGGCUCAACCGGGGAGGGUCAUUGGAAACUGGGGAACUUGAGUGCAGAAGAGGAGAGUGGAAUUCCACGUGUAGCGGUGAAAUGCGUAGAGAUGUGGAGGAACACCAGUGGCGAAGGCGACUCUCUGGUCUGUAACUGACGCUGAGGAGCGAAAGCGUGGGGAGCGAACAGGAUUAGAUACCCUGG
This 762-nucleotide ribosomal RNA is filed under the name Bacillus subtilis. RNAcentral describes it as "bacterial SSU rRNA". It matches the Rfam family "Bacterial small subunit ribosomal RNA", at positions 45 to 790 of the family's 1533-position model. Lineage: Bacteria; Bacillati; Bacillota; Bacilli; Caryophanales; Bacillaceae. The record is from RNAcentral.